AUCCACCAAGGUGUGGUCGAAGUCAAACACCAGCAGAGUCUUCAUGAUGAUUCUCCUCUGCUGCAAAACACUGGUGGAAUAGGUUUGUUAGAAGAGACACGGACAGGCAGCCAGACACAGAGAGAGAGAGAGAGAGAGAGGUAGAGGGGUGAGAGACACAGACAGGCAGCCAGACACAGAGAGAGAGAGAGAGUAGAGGGGUGAGAGACACGGACAGGCAGCCAGACACAGAGAGAGAGAGAGAGAGGUAGAGGGGUGAGAGACACAGACAGGCAGCCAGACACAGAGAGAGAGAGAGGUAGAGGGGUGAGAGACACGGACAGGCAGCCAGACACAGAGAGAGAGAGAGAGAGAGAGGGAGGGGGGUGAGAGACACGGACAGGCAGCCAGACACAGAGAGAGAGAGAGAGAGAGAGAGAGGUAGAGGGGUGAGAGACACGGACAGGCAGCCAGACACAGAGAGAGAGAGAGAGAGAGGGGUGAGAGACACGGACAGGCAGCCAGACACAGAGAGAGAGAGAGAGGUAGAGGGGUGAGAGACACGGACAGGCAGCCAGACACAGAGAGAGAGAGAGAGAGGAGAGACACGGACAGGCAGCCAGACACAGAGAGAGAGAGAGAGAGAGGUAGAGGGGUGAGAGACACGGACAGGCAGCCAGACACAGAGAGAGAGAGAGAGAGGUAGAGGGGUGAGAGACACGGACAGGCAGCCAGACACAGAGAGAGAGAGAGAGAGGUAGAGGGGUGAGAGAUAGAGAGAGAAACAAAAAAAAUGUAAUGGUAUUGUCUGCUUUGCUUAGUAUUAUGAAUUUGAAAUUAUUUAUACUUAAGUAUAUUUUAAACCAAAUAUUUGUAGACCUU
Long non-coding RNA from Oncorhynchus keta (chum salmon), 861 nucleotides. RefSeq lists it as uncharacterized. The record is from RefSeq and is a predicted model, not a curated record. Lineage: Eukaryota; Metazoa; Chordata; Actinopteri; Salmoniformes; Salmonidae. The transcript has 5 exons.